UGCGUAGGCGGAUAUAUAAGUCAGUGGUGAAAUCUUUCGGCUCAACCGAGAAACUGCCAUUGAUACUGUUAGUCUUGAGUUCGGUUGAGGUAGGCGGAAUGUGUAAUGUAGCGGUGAAAUGCUUAGAUAUUACACAGAACACCAAUUGCGUAGGCAGCUUACUAGACCGACACUGACGCUGAGGCACGAAAGCGUGGGGAGCGAACAGGAUUAGAUACCCUGGUAGUCC
RNAcentral lists this ribosomal RNA (229 nucleotides) under uncultured bacterium. Its description in RNAcentral is "partial 16S ribosomal RNA". It matches the Rfam family "Bacterial small subunit ribosomal RNA", at positions 568 to 796 of the family's 1533-position model. The record is from RNAcentral.